GGCGGGGUGGCGCAGUUGGUAGCGCACGGGGCUCAUAACCCUGGGGUCGCUGGUUCGAGUCCAGCCUCCGCAACCA
This 76-nucleotide transfer RNA is filed under the name Burkholderia ubonensis. RNAcentral describes it as "tRNA-Met". It matches the Rfam family "tRNA". From Rfam's summary of the family: Transfer RNA (tRNA) molecules are approximately 80 nucleotides in length. Their secondary structure includes four short double-helical elements and three loops (D, anti-codon, and T loops). The record is from RNAcentral. Lineage: Bacteria; Pseudomonadati; Pseudomonadota; Betaproteobacteria; Burkholderiales; Burkholderiaceae.